UUGACGUGGCUUUAUUGACAUCCAUCAUCUGUAAGAAGGUUAGCAGGAUUUUGCAGGGCUUAAAGGAGGACUUUUGCUUUUUAUUCUUUUUGCUUCUGUAUUUUUACUUUUGUUACAGGGUCCUUAUUUAUUACCUAAAUAUCAGAUGAUACGAAGAAAUGUCAUUGUUGCUAAAUUAACACAAAGGGGCAAGUGUGUAUUUUGUAGCCGGUGACAUGGUAAGGGGGAGGUAUAAAAUAAAGGUGAAUUGACAAAUGAAUGUAAUAUCCGGGAAAGAACGUCCUCGUGGUGUGUGGGCAGGCAGACCACACGGGUGAAGGGCAGACCUCCUGAUGGCCGAGGUGAAGCGUCUGCGGGCACAACCAGCCCCUCGGAGCACUUCUGCCAAUAAUGUGCACAGCACGUGGUGCCAGAUGGCCUCAAACCAGGGUCCCCAGCAGGUGAGUGGAGCUAAUAAUGAGAAGUCAGGUGGGAGACACUUAGAAAUUCAGACCAACAGGCUGGUAGCAUCUGGAUCUGCCCCUGGGUAGCAGGGUGUGACCCCUGGGCUGAGAUUCAGCACAAGAAUUCAGAAGAGAGAAUUAAUCUCUGAAAUUGGAGUGCUUGAAAGCGUGUUAUUUGGCUCAAGAAGCUUAAGUGCAGCCGGAGGCAGCGCGCCAGGUCCCAGGUCCAGGAACUUGGAGGUUACCUGGGCUGGGGUUGGUUCAGGACCUCCUGCUUCGAGCAGCAUCUGCUUGGCUCUAGGAGCAGUGGUGUUGUUGGAAGGCUGGGCGCAGCUGCGGGACACGAGGGAGGGCUGGUAUAGACGAUGGGGAAGUCUGUGUUACCUAUUAAUCGGAGACCGGAAUCAGUUGACCGGCAUGGCUGUUGUGUUCAGAUUGUUUUGGAACUGACACAGGGCACCACGAUGGAGAGAAAGAUGAGGCAUAUUGUCAACGUGCUGGAACAUAGUAGACUCAUUUCCGUCACCGGCGUGGGCUGGGAGAGGCCACUUAAUCUGGGAGAGGCAAUUCCGCCAUCCGGAAAAGUUUUUCUGCUUUGGUGUCCUCAGUUCCACAAACAUUUGCUGUGGCUCCCCCGUGCCAUGUAUGGUGCGAGGGAAACACAGAAAUGAGGAAAGAGGGGCUCUGCCUGGGAGAAGUCACAGUCUAUCAGGAAGGAACAGGAGAACAAGGAAACGGUAACACAUGCUUCCGGGGCACCGAGCUUCGUGCUUGCUCCCUACCCACGAUCUCAUCAAAAGCUCAGCAGUGUGACGGGGCGGGUGUUACUGAUCUCCUUCUCGAAGAUGAGGCGAUGAAGGUCCAGAACGGGGUUAAGGUAAUCUGUCCAAGAUCACAACACUGGUAAGUGGUGAAGCAAUGAUUUGAACCCAAGUCUGUCUGACCCCAAAGCCCAUGAUCCUCCCAAUAUCCCCCCUGGCUGAGGGGAGAGAGCAAUUGACACACACACCAUUCACUUUCUGUGCAUGUUUGAUGCCCAGCAUCAGCAGAGCACAGGAAAGAGGCGGGGAAUGUGUCAGCCCGUUUGAAAGGCUGAUAUAUAUGGAGAAGAAAAGGGCAUUUAGGGAAAUCAGGCAGCGUGAUUUGUGUGAGAGGGCUUUUUUAGGCUGUGGACAGAAACUCAGGGUGUGAAAUCGCAAAGGUAAGCAUCUCAUCUUCUAGCCUUUCCCACUAAGGAGUCUGGGGCUGAGCAAACCAUGAGUACGGGUGUCAUCUGUCCCUUGGGAGGUGAGAGGGUGGCCUUAAUGGGACAGGAGGAGAAUCAAUAAUGUUAUCACUUAGAAGCGAGGAGACGGCUGACCGAGCACAAAAUGUCAGCAGCCUGACAAAGCAAAGACAGCCUUGGCCUGGGGCAACCGAUAUUGAUCAUAAUGAUCUCAAAGCAAUUAGCUCAUGGGUCUGCCUCCCAUUCAUUUUGCCUCCCUUUUCAAAAUGUGUAUAUUCAGGACCAUGAUGAACCAUUGCUCCCCGGAGAGCCAGCUCUGCUAUUUGGAAGGACAUCAAGAGUCGUACCCUCUGCCCUCAGCAGCUCAUCCCACAGGGUUUUCAGCCAGAGCAAGAAGGGGUUCUAGAAUGUCCGGGGCACCCAGGACCACAGGCAGGAUAAUGCAACCGGCAAACCACAUCAUAUGGAUUCUUUGCCGAGACCCCCCGGUAACGAAAAGACAGAAUAACAGGAG
Molecule: long non-coding RNA, 2182 nt
Organism: Leopardus geoffroyi (Geoffroy's cat)
Lineage: Eukaryota; Metazoa; Chordata; Mammalia; Carnivora; Felidae
Exons: 2
Source: RefSeq, a predicted model, not a curated record